Schistosoma mattheei is the source of this 45-nucleotide non-coding RNA. Lineage: Eukaryota; Metazoa; Platyhelminthes; Trematoda; Strigeidida; Schistosomatidae. The record is from Rfam.
AUUCAGCUGACGAAUCCUAAAUAGAACGUAACAAGUGUCCUGGAU